UACGUAGGGUGCGAGCGUUGUCCGGAAUUAUUGGGCGUAAAGAGCUCGUAGGCGGUCUGUCGCGUCGAAUGUGAAAACCCGGGGCUCAACUCCGGGCUUGCAUUCGAUACGGGCAGGCUAGAGUUCGGUAGGGGAGUCUGGAAUUCCUGGUGUAGCGGUGAAAUGCGCAGAUAUCAGGAGGAACACCGGUGGCGAAGGCGGGACUCUGGGCCGAUACUGACGCUGAUGCGCGAAAGCCAGGGGAGCAAACGGG
This 253-nucleotide ribosomal RNA is filed under the name uncultured bacterium. RNAcentral's name for it is "partial 16S ribosomal RNA". It matches the Rfam family "Bacterial small subunit ribosomal RNA", at positions 524 to 776 of the family's 1533-position model. The record is from RNAcentral.